AAAAUUGAGACUAAAGGAAUAGAAAGAAGAGUAUGUGCUUCUCCUACCUUUUUAACAAUAGUUUGUGAUCCAUUAGCUAAGGUAACUUUAAAGAGAGUUGAGGGGGAGACAAAGGUAAAGAAAGGAUUUUCAUUGCAAGAGAUAUGAUAAGAAAAACUAGAAUUAGGGAUCCAUGGUUCAGUGGAUGAAGUUUAUGUUAGACAAGUAAUU
This 210-nucleotide unclassified non-coding RNA is filed under the name Hevea brasiliensis (rubber tree). The record is from RNAcentral. Lineage: Eukaryota; Viridiplantae; Streptophyta; Magnoliopsida; Malpighiales; Euphorbiaceae.